CAUCUUCCAGCUGCGCUGGGUAUUGGGUAGUCCACAGUAGUGGACGCCUAAAACUUAGGUGGAGAAGCAGCCGAAAACUUUUAGCGCAGUGACUAAAAAUCUCGCUCUAGUUUCGGCUGUUGCUUUCCCCAAACUUCUCGUCUAAUCCCAGGAUUGAGAAAUCUCCAA
This 168-nucleotide unclassified non-coding RNA is filed under the name uncultured Ascomycota. Its description in RNAcentral is "sequence contains ITS2". The record is from RNAcentral. Lineage: Eukaryota; Fungi; Ascomycota.